Tripterygium wilfordii is the source of this 4296-nucleotide RNA transcript. RefSeq lists it as uncharacterized. The record is from RefSeq and is a predicted model, not a curated record. The transcript is spliced from 8 exons. NCBI's taxonomy places the organism in Eukaryota, Viridiplantae, Streptophyta, Magnoliopsida, Celastrales, Celastraceae.
AACAAGCUGAAACAGUCACCUGACGUGCGAGAUCGUUUUCUCAACGCUGAUUUCUUCGUCUCUUCCUCUCCAUUAGAAACCCUACGCUAUGCACUAACCAAACAUGGUGCGUGGUGCGCCUAUAGGGCGCAACUCAGCAAUACUUCCAAAAUUUCAAUUCCAAAAUAAAAGACUCCACCGCCAAAGAUAAUUUCAAUUCCAAAAUUCAGUCCCUAACGUCUCUUUUUCCUCAUUCGCCCUCUCAAGAGCCUGAACCGCCAAAGUUCCAUCUGACAUGCGAACUCGUUUUCUCAACACCGAUUACUUCGCCUCUUCUUCCUCUCCAAUCGAAACCCUGAGCUUCCCCAAUUUCGCAGUCCCUCAUCUACCUCCUUCGCGUCUAUUUAACUACUUCGAUUCACCGGUAGACGUCUCUUUCGUGAUCGAGACGUUGCUGAUCGAUCUCGCUCUCUGUAAGUUGUUGGCAGAAGUGAUUCCUCAACCUGUCGAGGUCAGAUAUGGCGAUUUUGAGGCAGAUCGCUUCCUGGACAAUGAAGUUUCCGCUGAUAGCGAAGGGAGAGUUGAGUCUCGAUUCUAUAAGGUGUACAACUUCUGAUUUGUACUCUAUAGUGUAUACGUAAUUUCAUCCGUGCAAUUGCGUUUGAAAUUUCACGAUUCUGAUUAAUCAUUCAUCAGGAAGAUAUUCGUUUUUGCUUUGAACUUACGUUCACAAAUCUAGAUAAUCUAUAGUUUUUCAUUAUUUGUUUUUGUGAAAUUAUAUAUGCAGGCAUGUAGGAUCUUUUCGUUUGUGUGUAAAUAUGUGAGUUCAAGUAUAAGUGACUCUGAAUUUCGUUCUGAUAAUUUAUCGUCAUGCUCACGGAGUGUUAAUUGACCUAAUCAAUGUCACAGUUGAAGCUUGCAUAUGAGAACUGCUGAUUGUUAUUUCUGGUUACUGAGUAACUACACGAGGAUGGCAUGGCACUUAAACUUUUUCAAUAUAAUUUGUGACAAAUUUAGAAGGGAAAAAUUAUAAAUCCUACUUAAAAACUUACAAUUAUUGCCUUUGUUAGGUACCAACAUUUUAUUUGUUCCUUUUGUAUACUUCCUUUAUUCCUGGCAUCACUUUCUAUUUCUGGCCAGAAAUUUCAUUAUUCCAUUAAGUAUUAAGUAGCUUAUGAUUGAUCACUAAUUAAGUUUUUACAUUUCCUCUGCAUUUGACCUCACAGUACUAAAAUUACGUCGAAGGAUUCUUAAACUAGUGAUUGUUGCUCUCCGGGGCUCCUUCUAUUGUCUAUAUUUGUAUUUAAUUGCAAAAAGAAGCUGAGACAUUCUAUGAGGAUGGAGAAGUGGAAAAACACGGACGUUUUGGAUCUAAAACUCUGGAUGUUGAAUUAUCAAGAGAGAAUAAUGGGACUGCUUGUUGUACCAACACUUUUGAAGUAAUUCAAUUUGAGACACGAGCUGGAUGUGUUCUCCGUAAAGACAGAAAAUUAUAUGGACUUGGAUAUACCUUGAUUCUACAUCUAUAUAAAUUCAUUUUACAUACACUUUUCAUGUGAUUUUGCAGGAGAGUGCCUGCUUUUAUGAGAAAGAGGAGAUGCAUAUGUUCUUUGAAGUUCUAGAAAUUGAGCAUAAUGUUGUAAAUACCUGAGUCAUCUUUUCACUCAGUCUUUAUGUAAUGCAUUUCAAAUUUGGAUUCAGUAUCCCUAGUGUAUGUCUUAGAUACUUUGUAAUGGACAAGCUGCUUUCCGAUUUUACAAUAACCAGGAAUCAUUAUCUUGAAUGGCAUUUAAUUUGGUAGUUUUUUUGUACAACAGUUCUUUCUAACUUUGUGAUUAUUGAAGUGAUAAGAAAAAUUGAUAGAGUAGGUUGAAAAAAGUUUCACCAGGUCUUGAUGUUAUAAGAGAUGCUGAAGACUGGUAUUAAUGUGCAAAAUGUGGGAAAGGCUCUUAUAGAUUCUGACUGUUUCAGUUUCUGGUUUGUUUGCUGUUUGUGUUUCUAUAAUCAUAAAUGAAGAUUUGGUCUAACUUCGCUCUUUCUCUCAGGAUAUGUUCGUGCCAGGGCUUACCACACAGUAUUCUAAUAAGGUUCAAGGGUCAGUUUAUUCCGUAGAAGAUGUUCUAGUUGAGUGUCCAAUGGAACAAACAGCCAAUGUGUCUGAAGAUGCUAGUUCAGUUCUGGAUAAAACACAGUACCACCUUAGCACGUUCCCUCUAUAGGAAUUGAAGAGACAAACCUGGGAAUUCUGUCAAACAUGAUUAUGUCGGAUGAACUUAUUUCAUUUAUUGAUAAUAUUGAACCCCAUGAAUGGACUAGAACGGAUGAACAUCCUAUUAGCAAAAAGGACCUUUAAGGUUAUAUGGUAUGAUAUUGUAGAUUUCAUUGGGAUCAUUGUCUGUCAAAGCAGUACCUUGAAUCUGAACUGGCCUCCCUGGAAGGUUGGAAGUAGAGUAGACGUUAUAAGCAUGGUGGAUUCUCUAAAAAUGAAUGAGGACUCUGCAUUUCAUCGAUGGGCAUCAGACAGUGGCUCUUCCUUGUCAUAUAUCCCAGUUCUUUUUCAGGAGUUCGAGAUUAUUGAUGUGAACUCAUCUCGUCUAUGGGCUGGAAACAUGUGACUCUCCAUUCAGAAAGGAUGCGAACUUCAAAAAUUUUGAUGAAAUGAUUGUCAGUAAUGAGCUAAUCCUGGUAGAUGACACAUUCAAAUCAUAGCGUUCACCGAAUGUCUCUGAUCAUGCACGGAUAAGAUCACUUGAUACCAUAAUGGAGGAUAUAAUGGGUGAAGUUAAACCAGAACCGCCCUCUAUGGUGCAACAUCACUAUCAAACGCCAUUGGUUCAGUUCAUCCACAACCAGGAUCACCGUGGACAAUAGAGUUUCUUAACCGAAUUAGGGGAAAGAGCUGACUGCAGCAGCAGUCCCUUCCAUGUGAUGCACCUUCACAAGGUUCUGAUUAUUCACAGAAUACAUCAUGAUCUACAAAGAGAAGAAGUCCAUUGAGCCUUGAAUUUUUCAGCUACCAAGGAAGCAGCUCACAUGGUAAGAUACCUGGAGGAAAGAGGCAGAAACAAUGUACACGGUCAUCAAGCUCAUCCAAGAAUGAGGGUGCUUCAACUUCCUUUCAGCCAACAUGAACACCCAUUGAGAAGAGAGCUAGACAGGUCAUGGUUUCAAUUAUAGAAACAGCCUCUCCGAGGCUUCAUAUAUCUUGUCCUUCCCAGUCCUCGCUUCCACCACCGGAGUUUUGUGCACGGGAGUUAACCUUCAGCUUUAUAUUGUAAGUGACUUACGUACCAUGCAGACUCUAUCUUUUGCCUUAAACGAAAGUGGAAACCAAGCUAAACUGGUCUAGAGUGCUAGCAAUACUCAUUGUCCAAACAAAAAAUUUCAGAAUUAUUUUUGAUGAUGCUCCAGAUGGUUUAUACGUCCAACCCUGCCUACACUGCUGCAGUUGGUGUCAACUUGACAGUCACUUCAACAUUUUGUUUGAAGCAUACAUGUGAACGUGCUUCUGCAAAGACUGAAUCCCAUGAAUAGAGAAGUAGAAGAAAGAAUGAUAAGAAUUACAUUGAGACGAGAAAUAAGAUGGAACUAACAUGUAAGACGGAACCAGAGUUGGCAAAUUUAAGGGGCAGAGAGACGGUCAAUGCUUCAUUUUGUGCCACGAAGUCUGCAAAAUCAAUUGAAGCUUCCCCAAGGAAACCUGCUUUUGAUGAUCCCUGCAGGAACUCAUAAAAGUUAUAGAGAACCAGCAAGAGGGAUAAGAAAAGCAGAAUUCUUAUAGACUGAUUAUUACUUACAGAUGAAACUAGGAAAUGGUUCCAUCUUCAACUGCAGCUUUCUCCAGUUUAAAUGUCGUCUUUCCAACAUCCUCUGGCACCAAUGAUAUGGUCAGGGCUGGUUUCUUCAAUCGGGGCACCUGAAAAGCCAGGACUUGAACAUGUUUGACUCAGAAUCUCAAUUACAAGACUCAAAAUCUUUUCUCGAGUAGUGCUGCCAAGUGGGGAACUGUUUUUUGUGACAGAUUCGGGGCACGGCCACACUAGAUGGAGAAGAAGGGAUGAGAAGUAUGAGGUGAGAAGUACAAGAAGGUGAGAGAGAUUUGACCUAAUUCACUUAAGAUUAUUAUUCACAAUAUGAGCUCAAGUCCAUGUGACUUUGUCAUUCAAAAGAUGUCUCAUUUGUUUGAAGUUGGGUUUACACUUGUAAACCACAUUUUUUUACGUAUACCAGACGGAUGUAGAAUUUUUUACAAGUCUUAACACAGAUGGAUUCGUAUGGACCAAUGAAAUCGAAAUAGAAAAUCUUGACAUUCAUUUA